AAGUGGUAGUCGAAAUACGCGUAUCUGUCAAAGGAUAUGCAACAUAGGGCGGAAUUAAGAGGUACGAAACUGGUCAUUUGGGAUGUUACAGAUCAACCCAACUUUUUCGAGAAGCAGAACUUCAAAUCUACACUCGUAACAGUAGUCAAAUACGCCCCGGGCAGAGGUCAAGUACUGACGAUCAAAAUGUGAUAUUGGUUUGUUUGAGAUAAGAGGUAAAAGUACUGAAAAUAAUAGCAAAAAUUUGUUCUUGGACCAUCUAACCAAUAGCAAAAUUUGAUAUUUGAAUAUCAAUCAAAUAGCUCACUGCUAUUGGUUAGAUCUUACCAAGAGCUAAAUCUGCUAUGAUGAUGAUGUUCCAGGAGUAAAAUUCAGAUAUUGUUUUCAGUACUUUUACCUCUUAUCUCAAACAAACCAAUAUCACUUUUUGAUCUCCGUAUCAAAAUAUGCUAUUAUUGAGCUUUUUUCCUCUGCUCGGGGCUAUACAGAGUAACGUUGCCUAUUCAACUAGAUAUUCCUGGAGAUAUGGUGUGCCAGCAACCUGAUCCGUCCCUUGGCAAUGUGUUAAACGAAUCUUUACAACAGCGUACAUUUCCAUCUGACUGGAAAAAUUCAGUAAUGUUCCCAGUGUUCAAGAAAGGCGACAAACAGAACGUAGAAAAUUAUCGAGGAAUUACAUCAUUAUGCGCUUGGUCCAAGAUCUUCAAGAUCAUCAUCUACGAGCUACUGUUCCCGUGCUGUAAACACUUUAUCUCUGCUGAUCAACAUGGGUUUUAUCCUAAACGGUCAGUGUCCACAAACCUUUUGCAUUUUACCUCCUUCUGUAUUCGAAAAAUUGUUGCAGAAUCUCAAAUUGAUUCCAUAUACACCGACCUCAAAUCAACGUUUGAUUGUGUUGAUCACAAUAUAUUACUGAGUAAGCUGCUAAAGCUGGGAGUUGCCUCUAAUCUCAUCGAGUGGUUCAAGUCAUAUCUGACUAACCGAAAACUGAGCGUUAGAAUUGGUAAUGAGUCGUCGGAACGUUUCUCCAAUACGUCUGGCGUUCCCCAAGGAAGCAACUUAGGUCCAUUGCUGUUUUCAAUCUUUAUCAACGAACUGUCAAGACUACUACCACCUGACACUUAGCUUUGCAAAAUGCAGCGUCAUCACAUUUCACCGAAAGUUAAGGACAAACUUCUUGAAAUCCCGCUUCAACAGUGCAUCAGAACUUCAGACGCACAAAUCUCAAGAAGCAAGCUUCAAACAACAGUGAAUUUCAUUAUUCUGUUCUUGCUCACUUGUAAUAAACUUAAAAUAAGAAGAUUAGGUGUGCUGGUUUUGUUUAUGAAGAGAUUUAUGCCCUCGAAAUCGUGAGUAGGUGCCAAAGUCGGCCAUUGUGGCGGCCAUUUUGGGAUUCUAACAAGUCUGUCCUUAAGGCCUAUUGUUUAUAACUACACCAUCUCUAACCAGCGACUGGAGCGUGUUGAUCAUAUUCGCGACUUAGGUGUCAUCCUCGAUCCAGCUUUUUCUUAUCGACUACACUAUGAGAACAUAAUUUCCAAGGCCAACAGACAGCUGGGGUUCCUCUUUUAACUUACCAGCGAGUUGCAUGACCCUCUGUGUCUUCGGGCAUUGUAUUGUGCACUAGUUCGCUCUAUACUGGAGUCGUGCUCUGUCGUAUGGUGCCCAUACCAAGCGAACUGGAUUUCGAGAAUGGAAGCUAAUCAAAAAGUUUGUCAGGGUGGCUCUGCGAACUCUUCCCUGGCGUGACCGACAUAACCUGCCGCCGUGCGAAGAUCGUUGCAGACUACUACUAGGACUACAGACGUUGAGUGAAAGAAGUUUCAUUAAUCAAGAAGUCUUCAUUGGAAAAAUUCUGCGCGGAGACAUAGACUCAGCUGAAAUAUUGGAACGCCUUAACCUUUACGCUCCGGAGAGAAUCAUUCGUCAACGUAAAGCUACAGAAAACUUGAGCCACGCCAUACAGAAUACGGCCUUCAUGAACCAAUCCGCUUCGCAUCUUCUAGUUUCAACGAUGUUUUCCAAUUAUUUGAUUUCAACUGCUCCAGUACUACUUUCCAACGGCGUUUGCAAGCUAGAAACUCAUUUCCGAUGGGAAACAGGUGAGAUUCUGUCCAAUGAUUUUUAUGUUUGUUGACGGUAUUACAUAAUGUUUUUUUUUCUCGAUUGCUGUCGCUGUCAUCCCCGAGCCUCCUGCAAAUGGAUGAAUCCCGAGUACACCUGCAGUACACUAGAUUUAGUUUUUAUAUGUUGACCUACUGUAAUAUUGUUUGUAAAUAAAUGAGGUUUUUUACGCCUAUUUGAGAGAGACGCAUGUUGCUGGUCUGCUCAAAAAGGCUUUUCCUCAUCUUAAAGCUUAAGCAGAUGAAGUUAGUUGAAGAAAAAAUAAAAUAAAACAAAACAAAACAAAACAAAAUUAAAAAAAAUAAAAUAAAAUAAAAAUAAAAUAAAAUAAAAUACUCUUUGGAGCCGACAUGAUAAACCCAACGAACGCAGCCCAUUCAGAAACCCUGGUCACGGCUGCCUACGCCUUCUUGCGGGUGUUGGGGAUGGACGGGCCAGACACGACAAUGACGGUGUCAUCGGCGUUCACGCAAAUUUGGAAGGUACUCGAAGGCACCAUUAGUCAAGAAGAGAAACACGGUAGCUGAAAUUACGAAUGCUUGUGGGACGCCAGUUUCCUCCCUGAAGGACUCCGAAUUCCAGUUCUUUGUUAUGCCUCUAACGAUACGAAUAAAAGAAUGAAACGAAACAGGUUUUAUGGAUUUGGAGAAUGUUACCAGCGCGGCCACAGCUGGCUAGUUUUCGGAGAAUAAAACACGUCCAAGUUCUGUUGAACGCCUUCGAGAUAUCCAAGAGAUUUAUCUCAAUAUGGUGGCCUAUAAGUUCUUAGCUUUUUGAAAAGCUUCUCCUAGGGCAGCAAAGUACGUGUUGGCUUCGUACCCAGGUUGGAAGGCGUGUUUUCGAUGAUCCAGGAAUCUAUGUUUCUGCAGAUACAGGGUGCGGCAGGAAAAAAUGUGUAUAUUUCAAGGCGCUAUCACACGCUGAAUAUGGGAUAUAUAUGUCUAUUUUUUCAUGACAGUGUAUCAGUCAACAUCUAUUUCUAUAUUCUACCACUACAAAAUAUAAAUGAACAUAUUUGGUUUUUAACAUGUGAUAAUGUAAGCCUAAAAUGUUGGUAUCAAUAAACUGCGCGCCCAAAAUUAGCUUCAAUUCGAUGAAAAACCAGGCCAUACUAAUCCAGAGCCAUGUAGUUUCACAUACCAGAUGAAAUAAACACAUGAUAUGAUAUUAUAGAGAAAAUUAAAAAUUAUGUUUUAUCAGAUUUGUAAUUUAGCUACCUGUGUACUUUUCAGUGGUUUGAAAAUUGUGAUUGUCUUCAGCUUCAGGCGCAGUCUUGUAAACAUUUUAAAUUACUUUCAUAAAAUUUGCCUGUUAGAGAUCAUUGAAACAUAGAUUGGUUAACGUCAAAUGGACGACCAUGAGGUUUGAAGUUGAAAAAACUCUUUCGCAUUUUUUCCUGCCGCAUACUAUAAUGUGUUAACAACUGCCACUUGCAAGGCUGAGAUCGCUUGCAAUGGCAACCGGGUCCGUGGUGCAGGUACCAUCCAAGUUGACGGUGGCUGACACAGCAGUACGUUUAACGCUGAGAGCGUUAACUCUCAAGCACCUCUUAAUUUCCAUGAAUUUGGCUGAAAUUUUGACAAGUUACUUUUUUGGGUACCAAUCAGUGCUGUCAUGCUAAAAUCAGAGCUGGUUACUCAACGUUUUCAAAUUUUCGCGCCCCUUUUACUAGUACGCCUCCAAGGAAAUGAUUUCACUAUUGCGUUCAAUUUAGAAUUAUUCUGGGGAAACUACUCCAUGCAUUAUCUUUUUACGAUUUUUUCCGUAACUAUCGUGGAAAGGACAUUAUUAAAAUUUCUAGAAAAAAAAUUAUUACCUCCACAGACUCCGCCAGAAAUUCAUUGAAGAUUCUUUCAGUAUUUAUCAUAAAAUUUAUGGAAUGAUUACAAAAAGAUGAAUAUCGACGAAUGUUUUAGAAUGAUUUUAGCAAAAAUUCCUCUAAAGAUUCCUUAUAGUUUCUUUGAAAUUUUCUCCAGGAAUUCCUCUAGGGAUUUUUUCGGGGAAUUUUCCUUGGGACUUGUUCAGGAGUUUUUUUUAAGGCUCAUGUUGAACCUGGUCCACGGGUUUCCUCAGAAAUUCCUCCUGUGUUUUCUCAAAAAUAUAUAUUGGAUUUUCUUUCAAGGAGUGCUACAUAAAUUCAUGCUUAUGUUUUGUCAUGCUUUUUUUAACAUUUCUGAAGAAAUUCACUAAGAAAUAUUAUCAGAAUUUUUCCAGGAAAUAAAAUUUCUCAAGAAAUUCUAGGAAUUAAUCCAGGAGUUUCUCCAGAAAAACCUCCAAACAUUUCUUAAAAAAAAUGCAAUUGCAGGGAAAUAUUUUCACAAAUUCAAAAAUUCCAUCAGAAUUUCCGCUAGGGUUUUCUUUAAGAAUUCAGAAAUUUAUCAGUUUUUCAGUAAUUGUUGUUUGAUUUUUACCAGAGGUUCCAUAAUGUGUUGAUCCAUUUCACGAAUUUCCUCGGCCAUUUAUUUAGAAACUAAUCCAUAAAAUUCUCAAAAGAUUCAUCUGUAUUUUUUUUUUUCAAUUUCUUUAUUUUCAUGAAUUUUAAAAGAGCUUCUCCAGAGGUUACUUCAAUAGUUUUUUCAGGUAUUCUUCCAGGCAUUGAUUUGGGUUUAUUCAGAACUUUCUUUUGGAUUUAUUUAUGAUAUUUUUUUUUCAAAACUCCUGUAGAAAUUAAUUCCGAUUCUAUUCCUUAGCUUCGCUUCCUCAAAUCCCUUCAGAAAUUGCAUGGGAAAUUUUUCUGAGAAUUCCUUCAGCAGUUCUUCCAAAGAUUCCUACAGAAAAUCUUCCAGGGAUCCCUCACAAACUUAUUAAGGGAUUUCUUCAAUACUACCACCAGUACCUUUGUUUGCGAUUUUUGCAGGCAUGUUUUAAAAGAUUCCUUCAGAAAUUCCUCUAUGGAUUUUUCCAGGAAUUCCUCCAGAAAUUUCUCCAGCAUGUUUUCGUUGGAAUUACUUGCAGAGUUUCUUUAGAAGUUUCUAAUAUUUUUUUUUAUGAAUCAAGAGGCUAUUUUAUGGUACCUAUGUAAUUUUCCUGGGUGUUAUCCCAGGCAUUCUUAUAGGAAUUGUUUCAAGAUUUUCAUGGGAAUCCCUCCAAAAAAAAUUCCUUAAACAAUCGUUCAGUAAUUUUUGUGCAAUUUCUUGAAGAACUUCUGAAAAAAACGCAGGAGGAACAUCCAAACAAAUUUCGCAGGGAUCUCCGCAAUCCGUGUAGGGGUUUGUAAGGAAAUUUAUGAAAUAAUUCCUGAAAAUUUCCAUGGAAGAACUGUUGAACAAAUCCUUUGCUGAAAUUCUUGAAGAAAUACUUAAAAUUCUAAUGAAGUUUCUGGAGGUAAACAUAUUUCCUCAAAGGAAUUUCAGAAGGAAUCCCAGCAGAUAUUUUUGAAAGAAACCCUGAAGGAAUAACUGAAAAAUUCUAAGUAGAGACAUACCUUGAAAAACUUCUCGGGAAAACUUUGGUGGAUUUCCUAGAAAAAUAUUAUUCCUGGCGAAAUACUUUGAUAGGAUUCUUUGUGGAUCUUAUGAAAGUGUUCCUGGACAAAUCCGUGAACGAAUUUCUUAAAAAAAAUCUUUCGAAAUACCUGGUAAAACGCAUAUAUAUAAGCGUCUGCGAAGAGGAAAAAAGCUCUUGAGAUAUUUCCCGAAGAAUUUUUGAAGAAAUUUCUAGAAAAUAUUUUUGAAGAAAUUUCUCAAAGAAUUCGUGGAAAAUUUAUUGAAGUUGUCCUUGGAAGAAAUUCUGGAUAAAUUCGUGUGGUCAUACAAGGAGAAAUAAGUGGAGAAAUUUUCAAGGAAUCUUAGAAUGAACCCCUGCAGGAAUCUCUGAAGGAAUUCCUGCAGGAUUUUCUGGAUGAAUCUCAGAAGAAAUUCCUGGACACUAUAAUGCGAGAAUUUGCUAUGGAAUCCCUAGAGCAAUUCCUGAACAAAUCCCUGCUGGUGUUCCUGAAGAAAUUCCUGAACGAAUUUCUUGAAGAAUACUCGGACAAUUUCUGAUGAAACCACUGGAAGAAUUCAUGGAAGAAUCUCCAAAAAAGUUUCCCGUAGAAAAUUCUAAAGCAAUCCCUGGAGAAAUUACCAAUGAUUUUUUUAAACGAAUCCUUCCAAAAUGUUGAAAGCAAUUACUGUUUAAGUUUCGGUAGGAAAUCUAUCUGAACAGAGUCCUGAAAUUAGAUGAGGGAAUAUCUGAAAGAAGCGCUGAAGAUAUUCAUUAAGCAAACCCUGGAAGAAAUUCUGUAAAAAACCUUGGUAGAUUUUAAGACCGAAUUCCACAAGUAAUUAUGAAAUUUCAGAAGAAAUCCGUGGAUUAAUUUUCGAAAAAAAAACCAUAAAAGCUUUCCUUGGACUUGGAAUUUUUGGACAAAUUUAUGGAUGAAUCUUAUUUGGAAUUUUUGAAGAAUCUCCAUGAAAAUUUCUUGAAGAAUUUCUAAAGAAAUAUUUGUAGGAAUUUCUGAUGACGUCUGUGGAAGAGUUUCGAAAGUAAUCCUUGAACAAAUUUCUGGAGGAGCUUUUAAUUUUCUGUUAGAAUCGCUGAAUGCAAUUUUGAAGGGAUCCAUGGAUGAUUUUUUGAAAGAAAUUUUUUACGAAUUCCUGCAAAAAGCUAUCGGAAAACUAUGAUAACUUCUCUAGAGUAAUUUUUAGAUACAGGGAUCCUGUAACGACAAUUUUGAAGGAAACUCCAGACUCUCCGAAAGAAAUGGAGAGUUUUCUGAAGAAAUCUAUGGAGCACUUUCGGAAGGAAUCCAGGAAAGUUUUUAUGAAAAAAAGUUCCACAAUUAAUUUCCGCUAUGAAUUGAACAGAUAGCGUUACCGUAGCGUUGUGUGUUUGACAUUACUUCUCUGUCACGUAGUGUGAAGGGGGGGGGGGCAACGCAAGUUCCGAUUUGUCCAACUCUGGAGAGCUUCGCCCUUUACCCAACUACGUCUAAAGUUGGUGCCUAUGAGAGGGCGCCAAGCUCGUACCCAAGGAAGGGGUUUUGGGUAAUAAACCCCUCCCAAUACCCAUGUUCAAUAUAUUAAGCGCCGCUCUACAUUUUAAUGAAAAUACACCAUUUAUGUACACGAGCCUGGACAGGGCGCAAAACUAUCGAAAUAAUUACCUAGGAUUUUUUCAUAUAUCCAGUAGGGUGGAAACAAUUCUUAAUUUCACUAAGAAGCUAUUUUGUAACAUGUUUUUCUUAUUUUAGCCAGAACGCUCAUACUGGGAGUUGAAGAAAUUUUUUUUUUUUGCUUCAAGAGCUGGUUACUCAGUGAGUAACUUGGAGUAACCACGAUGACACCACUGAUACCAAUCAAAAUAUGGGGGUUUACUUGAGAAUCAGAGAGCAUUUUUAAAAAGUGGAAAGGCCUAAUACCUACUUUAUGAUUGAUCUUUAAGAGCUCAGUACGGUUAUGGAAUAUGUAGCCCAGUCUUCCUUUAAAAUUGCGUCCCGAGCAGAAGGAAAUAAUAACAGCAUAAGAAAAUGCGUUAUUUUGGAGAAAAAACUGACAAAUAGAAUCAGUUAUUUUAUGAUGCUAUAAACUUGUCUGUUAUAAGUGGCAAAAUAACAAAUAUCAUAACAAACAUUUUUGGAAAUUAUGAGUUAUGGAUAAUAAUCUGACAGCAAAAUUUGUUAUGAUAUCAAACUCAUAACUAAAGUAAGAUGUAAUACAAUGUAAAUAUCAACAUUGAUAACAUAUCCAUAACAUUGUUAGUUAUUAUAUAAAAGCAUGUUCUUUGUUUCACAAACUCGCCAGUUUUUAUUCAUUCUAAGAGAUUUUAAAUGGGUACAGUACAACGCGAAGUAUUUAAAUUUAAGAAAUUUCCUUAUUUUUAAACCAUAAAAACUUUGAUUUGCUGCUGUAAUUUAGAACCUGUUCUACUUUAAUUGUUUUUGGAGUUUCGGUUUCGAAAUCAGCUCGUAAUUAUGCAUGAAAAAUUGUGGUCGUUGGUAGCAGUUCAUGAUUUUCGUUUAAUUUUAUUUUGUUUUUUUUUUCAGCACUGAAACUGAAUAUUUUCGAGAAUGUUUGCACCUGUCAAAUUUUGCAUAGCAUUUUUGAUAUAUUGAAAACAUUAAACAGAUUAUUACAAUUACAAGGAUUUUUCCCAUUGCUCAAGAAAAGCGUCGACAAUAGCUUCAGCAAGGAUUCCUCAAAAAUCUUUACUAGAAUUUCUCCUGAACUUCAUCUGAUGCCAAAUUUGAUACCAAAUUCAUCGUUAGAUUGCUUAACGGGUUACAUAUGUUGAGGUCGAGCACAAAAUCGAUUUUUUUUAUUCUUUUAUCUUAAAAUAUGGGUUCUUAAGAAUGCUGUGUCAAAUUUUCAUAGAGAUCCAAGCAGUAGAAGCAAAGAUAUAGCGUUUUGCGCCUUGCUCCCUGACGGGCGCGUAGUGCAUACUUGGAACUUUAAACGCGAUUAUCUCGGAAGUAUGUUUUCCAAAAACGUCAAUGUGGUGACUACGAUUGUGGAUUGAGUUCUCAACCGAUUUCAACCAAUUUUUUUUGGGUGUUCGCUAUUCAUAUGUCGUGUCCUUGAACGUUCGGAAUAUUAAAAAAUGUUUUUAGUUUCCAAACGAGGACGAUUUUUUCCAAAAAACUCAUUUUUUUCAUGCAAAAAAUGUAUGAAAAAAAUCAUACCUUCUAUUAAGAAAUCAUAGGAAUUCCGCCUAUUUAGAAAUCCUAGAAAUUCCUGUGCUCAUUUUUCCAGAAAUCUGUGUUUAGAUUUCUCUGAACAUUUCUUCAUGGAUAUCACCAGGAAGCAUUAUCAAGAAUUUUUCAGAAGAUUCUUCCAAAAAUUCAGUAAAUUGCUCAGAGAAUUUCUCGUAAAAUUUCUUCGAGGAUUUCUCCGAAGAGCUCUUUUGAAGGUUUUUCGAAGAAUUCAUCCGAGAAUUUCCUCAGAACUUCCAGGUGUUUUUUCCCGAAAAUUACUUAAGACAUUCUUCAGAGGUUCCAUUCAAAAAUGUGCUUCAUAGCCGAAUAUGAAAUUGGAGCCGAAAACACGUAAUAAUAAUAAGUUAGGUUGCAAUGCCAGGAAGAGUAUGAAAAGGAAUGGAGCGAACCUGGUGUGAUUGUUAAAACACGUGACUCUCACGCCGACGGCCUGGGAUUGAAUCCCAUUCCCGGCAAACUCGCAUAGUGUGAAGAACUCUACUUCGGAAGGGAAGUAGAGCGUGGAAAGGAAAGAACUGACCCCAUCACGGAGAACAACGUAAUUCUCGAAUGAUGUAGUUUUGAUUUGAAACUCACUUUUCUCUCAAUAUUACAGUAAUACCAAAAUUUGUAUUUCAAACACACAGCAAAAUGUUUCCCUUCCUUCGAACAUUGUCUGUUAUUUCAAGUAGAAAUAUUGGCACUAGACCAUGCCUUUUUUGAUGAGUGAGAAAGACCGCAAUGUAAAAAAAUGGCCAUAUGCCUCCAUUCUAUGGGACAGUUGCACUCUGUAUUGAAAUAUGUAUAUUUUUGCUCGAAUUCACCUUAUGUCAAAAAAGUAAUGAAAGGCGAAAAGAAUUGAGAAAAUGCGAAAAAGGAAAUUCUUGAACCCACCUGCCCAUACCCUUUACUCAAAUUAUAUACAGGGUGUUAGGUUCCUGAGUGCAAACUUUUUAAAGGGUGAUAGAGGACCAUAAAUGAUGAAAAAAAAUUGUUCUACGCAUAUGGUCAAAUCUCAACCUUUACGUAGUUAUUGAACUCCCCAUAUUUUUAACUCCUAUUGUUUUAACUGGCUAUAACUUUAAAAUGGUCAAACUUAUCGCAGUUUUUUUUACCCUUGUUCGAAAGAUCAUUGAAUUUUCUAUCAAAUGGCAUCUUUGAACCGAUUGGUUUAGUUUAAUAACUAAGUUUUCUAGAGCAAAUAGCCUAAAAGUUGUGUGUUUUAAUUUGUUUUUGUCAACUACCUUUGAAAAAUGCGUAAUAAAUUAAAAUUCUUUCUUUGGCAAAGUUGUGGACCCUGUUCCACUCUACAAUUCGUUCUUUGACAUCAAACUUCUAACUCUUAUCGUUUUGUUGCAAUUUUGAUUUAAACGUCGCAUUUCAGAUCAUAAAUUUUCAAUCGUCAUGGUAAGCACUUUUUUGCGCACUGUGCCGCACAUUUAAAUCAAAAUUGCAAGAAAACGAUGAGAGUUAGAAGUUUGAUGUCAAAGAACGAAUUGUAGAGUGGAACAGGGGCCACAACUUUGCCAAAGAAAGAAUUUUAAUUUAUUACGCAUGUUUCAAAGAUAAUUGACAUAAACAAAUAAAAACACACUAUUUUUAGCAAUUUUGCUGUAGAAAACUUAGUUAUUGAACUAAACCAAUCGGUUCAAAGAUGCCAUUUGAUAGAAAAUUCAAUAAUCUUUCGAAUAAGGGUAAAGAAACUGCUAUAAGUUAGACCAUUUUAAAGUUAUAGCCAGUUAAGACAAUAGGAGUUAAAAACAUGGGGAGUUCAAUAACUACGUAACGGUUGAGAUUUGACCAUGUGCGUAGAACAUUUUUUUUCACCAUUUAUGGUCCUCUAUCACCCUUCAAAAAGUUUGCACUCAGGAACCUAACACCCUGUAUAUGUACAAUGCAUCAUCAAUCUAAAUUAUAAUCAUAAAAGUUAUAAAAGUGUAGAGUCAUCUAAACAAUAUUUUGAGCUGAAAACUUGAAAAUUUAACGUACGUUUUGGGAUUCAAAUCUUCAAAGCUCCACUCAAAUUUGCAUUGUGCUAGUCCAAAUUUUCGUUAAGAUUGCUUUUAUACCAAGUGUUGAAGACUAAGAUUUUUCAUAUAGCAUGGGCAUCAGAUGGCAGUGCACAUCGCCUCGCAACAUAAUUAUGCCCUCUCACUACCACAGCAACCUUGACCGCAGCCUCGAUCGAGCUCGCAUAGGGCAGUUCAAAUUCAAGGGAGGUCCGGUCGCUUCCAUCUGCAUUAUGUGCUGGGUAGGUCUAUAGGUAUCUCUCGUAAAGCUGCAAGCCAAUCAUCAUAUAAUCAAGCGAUGCCGGGCCCAUGCUGAAGCUGAACCAUAAUGUACGCAACUUUUUUUUUGCUGCACACGUGCUUCCAUUUCGAAUUGAGUACGCAUAGACUGCGUGCGACGCGAGAUGAGACGCACAGCGCGGUUGAGAAGCGCUCGUGCGUCUCUGUUCAUGCGUUCUGGUCCAAUGGUCACCAGUGCUGGUCGUUGUCGUCGUCGUCGUCGUCCGCUGAUUUCUGGGUCGCGUUCUCAAGCAGUAUGCAAAUAAAAAAUAUACGUGGUGCACACACGCUGAUGCCCCAUACUCACCUGAAAAGAUGGUGCAUAGGGGAACAAAGUCCAAAAUGCCAAGAUGGGGUGAAAUGGCCCAACUUAUAAAAUCAUUCCUGAAUGUGAUUUGAUCAUUACAAUAGGCGAAUGGUGUCAAGAUACAGGAGAUAGACAAAAUGAUCGGGACGGGCAAAAUUUUUACUUUUCAAAAAAUGUUCAACUAGCUGUAACUUUUCGAAACGCGCGUCAAAUAUUCUCAAAUUUUCACUGUAAGUUGGUCAACUAGUUGUGUAUCAGUGGACAAAAUUUGGAUAAGAUCGAGCUAUUCUGCAGGAAGUUAUAAAUAUUCUAGAAAAAGGUAUAAUUAUCCGAUAGCCAACAUUAAGCUAUUAUUUCUCAGAAUUCAAUGAAGCGAAUGCAAUGAAAUUUCAACUAUUUAUGACUUAUUUAAUGAGCUUUGAAAAACUUUUGACACAACUUAAAAUUAUUGACACGGAAGAAAAUUAUUACGAUUAGUUUAUUUUUCUAAUAAAACACAUUUUUUUUUUAAACUUCAACAUCGUUUCAAAAUUUAAGAUGCUAAUUAUAGUUCAUUUAAAUUCCCUCUAGUUGUAUUGAAUAUAAAUAUGUUUUGAUGGAAAGUAACAUCAUCGCCUUCAAUUGAUAGAAAAAGUAUUGGGAUGCAUAUUUAAAAAAGAUCAAUUUACUAAAAAAAAAUAAAAUAAAUAAAAUCGCUAUAACUUUUUCACUUGUUAAUAAUUUAAAGUUGUGUCAAACGUUUCUCAAAGCUCAUUAUAUAAGUCAUAAAUGGUAAAAAUUUCAUUGCAUUCGGAACAUUGAAUCCGGAGAUAUAACAGCUCAAAUUUGGCUAUCGAAUAAUUCUCGCGCUCAGUAUCAUACGGGCGUAUCUACAAUGAUCGAUUUCUCUUCAUCGAUUUUCUCUUCGGUUAAUAACUUGGCCUUCAAAUCAUUUUUGGUUGCUUUUGUUGUUUUAGAUGCUAGUCCUAGUCGUCCUUCACCGAAAUGCACCGAGAAAUCAUCCGAGUAUCGGUCGUAUUUUCUGGAAUAAUCCGAAGAGAAAAUCGACGAAGAGAAAUCGAUCAUUGUAGAUACGCCUGUAUGAUACUAAACGCGAGAAUUAUACCUUUUUCUAGAAUUUUUAUAACUUCGUGUAGAAUAGUCCGAUCUUUUUCAAAUUUUGUCCACUGAUACACAACUAGUUGAUCAACUUACAGUGAAAAUUUGAGAAUAAUUGAUGCAUUUUUCGAAAAGUGGCAGCUAGCUGAACAUUUUUUGAAAAGUGAAAAUUUUGCCUGUCCCGAUCAUUUUGUCUUUCCCCUGUAUGUCUGCAUAAAACAUUCUUCUAGAAGCUAGGCCGCUAACCCCACGGAAAAACUUUUGGUUUUCCAAUAAAAAUUGGCAACUUUCGGAUUUUCGUGCUCUCAAUUCAGGUUUUCUUGUGAUUUUAUUACCAGCCAUGUGUUUCCAAAGAGAUUGAGAAACACAUGGAGGCGCAUGGUUCUUGAUGUCUACGCUAUUCAUGUUAAGGUUCAUUCAAAUAUGACGACCAUCGUUUAGUAGGAAGGGGGUGAUACUCCAUGUAUUGAGUAUACGAAAAAAAAACGGGACAGAAGGGGGAAAGGGUGUCGGACAUGCCCGAAAAAUGAUGGACGUAAUUUUUGAAUGUUUUCAUGAAGUGGCAUCUUACCCCAUGACAUGGUCUUUUGGCACCACUUUCGAUUUACGAACCAACAUUUAAAAUCGCUAAAAACCAAUGAAAUGGCAGUGGGUAGUUUCGUGAAUAGUUCUGCACAAGUAUCAAGUAAAUAAAAUCUAGUUACUGUAAUCACUUUAAAUGCCUAACAAAGGCGGCUAUUUAUCAUUGAAAACGAUGAAAGCUUGAAAAAUGGCAUCUUAUCCCACUUACCCCUACAUUGAUUAUUUUUUUCCUAUUCUAAGUGCACUUGCUACCUACCUAGUAACAAUCGCGCUCCGACGGACAAAGGCCAAUCAUCCGUUCGGCUGUUUUUGUUUUAGACUGUUUUUUUUUUGUCGCUCGAUGAGGUGAACACCUACCGACUAACGCUAGAUGUGUUUGGUGUGUUUGUUCAACAAAGAACCGCAACGGUGUGAAACUUUCCGUUUCGUGUUUGAAAAUAAAAAUGCAAAUGACAAAAAUGACCGGCAAAAGACUGUCGGACUUUGGCCUCUCGCGGACCGCGAGUCGCGGUGUGGACUGUGUUGGCGGGAAGUCCGAUUUUUUUUUAUGAGAACUUCCACAGAUACCAACUGAAAGCGCGAACUGAAACCGGAGUUGACGUUGAUUGUGAGACCAAUUCUUGCUGACUCCCUUUUGAAGGACAGGCCUGUUCUUCAGCUGUAGGUCAGAGUUAGGCCUGAAGUACAUAGGGUCAAAUAUUUGACGAGGAAAGAACUCAAGAAACAGCAUCAGUUUGACACUAAUGAAAAUUCGAUCGAGUCAAUCAAGAUGUUUGAGUAUUGGUUUCUUUUUUGAAAAAUAUUUGACCCUGUGUACUACAGUGUAUCAAACAAUUGUCCGUACAGCAAUUUUUUGGUCAAAAUUAUUUUACAUUCAAUUGAUCAUAACUUUUUUAUACAUCAUUCAAAUACGCUGAAAUGUUGAUCAAUAAUGCACCAUAUAUCAAAACUCCAUUGGUAAAGUUUUGAGUGAGAUCGAAUAAGUUUUCUGAAAGUUAUAGAACUUUUAGUAAAACUUAUAAAACUUUUGAACACAUUUUUAAAGCAUUAUAUCUCAAUAUGUACUCGAUGAAACUUUUUCAAUUUUUUUUGUGAUACAUCUUAUACCUAAGGCUUUCAUAUGCAGCUUCGUUUGAGGUUUUAUAUUCACUACAACAAAAAUGAAAAAUCUGUAUAUGUUCAGAGUGUCAUUAGGAAAUUUAUCAUAUUUUGAUCAAUAAAAGUGCCAAGUGUUUUCAACGUUUUUAAAUUCUUUUAAUGUAAUAUUUUUAUACAGGACCUACUAAACUACAAAAAAAGAAAAGGUCCUAUGUAUUUUUCAUUCAGUUAAUGCACUUUUAUUGGCGGAAAACGUUUGGCAGAUUAUAUGUGCAAAAUAUGAUAAAUUUUUAAACAUCGUCAACUACAUAAACACAUUUUUCAUAUUUUUUGUAGUGAAUAUAAAACCUCAAAAGUAGCUGCAUAUGAAAGCCUCAGUUAUCAGUUGUAACACAAAAAAAAAUUGGAAAAGUUUCAUCGAGUACAUACUGAGAUAUAAUGUUUUAAAAAUGUGUUCAAAAAUAUUAUAAGUUUUUCUAAAAGUUCUACGACUUUUAGAAAACUUAUUCGAUCUCGCUCAAAAUCUUACCAAUGGUAUGUUAAUAUAUGAUUCAUGAUUGGUCAAAAUUUCAGCGUUUUUGAUUAACGUAUAUAAAAAAUAUGAACAUUUGAAUGAAAAAUUAUUUUGGCGAAAAAAUUGCUGUACGGACAAUUGUUUGAUACUCUGUAACAGCUUUAUCCGGUAUCGUCCGACAAAACCUAGGAGGAUGUGACCGUUCGAUGUUGGUAUCGCUUUUUCGUAAUUGGGUUCUUUAGGGGUAUCCUGAUUAUUGCAUAAUCGGAAUCUCCGUCCAAAAAUUAGUCGAAAUUCAAAAUUUCAUCAUUUUCGGUGCCCGGGAACUAUUUUUAAAAUGCAUUUAAAGUUUGUAUGGGGAAAAUUUUUUGUUCGGGGCGAACUGUCACUUUAUCGAUUGAACUGUCAUUCUAGCCACGGAAAUUUAAACUGUUUUGUUUAUUUAACCAUCAAAACAAAUGAAUCGGGACGCAAUAAAAUCACCUUAUACUCAGAAAAAUGAGCUCUUUCGAUUAAGCUAAAGAAAAUGGCAAUAUUUAAUUACUAAACAACCCAAUUCAACUCUCCUAGUCAGUGCUGUCAGCACCCCCUGUACUGGUACGCCCCCAAGGAAAUGACUUCACUAUUACGCCUAAUUAUGAAAUAUUCCGACCAUAGAAAACCCUUCCAUGCAUUAUUAUUUCACGAUUUGUUUCUGUAUUUAUCGCGGAAGAUAAUUUUGCAAGAACUCUGCCUAAAAUUUCUAUAAAAUUCUCCAGAAUUACCUUCACGAACACCACCAGAAAUUCCUUCCGGGAUUCUAUGAAGAUUUAUCAAAAACUGCAUCGAAUGUUUACAGAAAGAAGUUUUUCGCAGGAUUUCUUCGAAUGUUUUUUUAAGCAAGAAUCCCUCUAAAGAUUCGUCUUGGUAUCGCAUCAAAAUGCAUCCUUGUCCAUGGAUUUCUUUGGAAAUGUUGCCAGGGAUUCCUCCAGAUAUUCUUUAAAGAAGUCCCACUAGAAUUUUCCUUGGCACUUGUUCAGCAGUUUUUCAAGAAAGUUUUCAAAAGGUAAAUCUUGAAACUGGUCCGCGGGAUUCCCAAGAAAUUAUUUCUAAAAUUCCUCCUGGGAUUCCUUAGAGGCUUCUAGGAAAUUCAUUCAAGGAUUGCUAGAUAAGUUAAUGAUUGUAUUCUUUCCUGUAUUUCUUUGAACAUUGCUGAGAGAAUUCCUCCAGAAAUGUUGUCAGAAUUUUCUGUGGGAUUUCUAUGAAAAUUCUUCUAGAAAUUUAUCAAGAAAUUCUUCUAGGAAUUUAUCAAGGGGUUUCUCGAGGAAUUACUUAAAUCGUUUUUUCAAGAGAUGUAAUUCUAGGAAAAUUGUUUUUAUUUAGAUUUAGAAGGAAAUUCUUACAGAUAUUCCUCUUGGGUUUUUUUAGAAAUUCAGACUUUUUUCCAGAACUUUUUUUUUCAAUGUCUUCAGAGGAUCUUUCAGGCUUCACUUCAUUUAUUCAGGGAUUUGUUCGGGCAUUUAUUUGGAAAUUCCUCUAGAAAUUACUCAAGAGAUACUUUUGGAAGUUCCUCCGGGGGUUUCUCCGGAAGUUCCUUUAGGUAUUCCUCUAGGCAUUGCUUUGGAUUUAUUCAGAUCUUUCCUUCAGGGAUUCUAUCAGUUUUGUUUUCCAAAGGUUCUCUCAGCAAUUCCUGCAAAAAAUAUUCCAUAAUCUAAUAGGGUGACAAAGGGUUUGUUCUCUUCGUCAUGAGGGUUUUUUUUUUGUUGGCCAAAUUGGUUGAAACUUGGUCUAUCAUUCAGCUUGAUUGGGAAAGAUUUGAGGCCAAUUUUGAGUUAAAUAGGUUUAAAAAACCCCCCAUGACGAAGAGAACAAAACAACCGAAAAUACGUAAGUUCCCCUAUCUCCGUCUGCUAUGAAAUAGAAUUUUCCAUGAAAUUUUUCAAGAAAUGUUUCUAUAAAUACCUGCGCAGAGGGUAAUCCAGUUCUUCCAAGUAUUAUUUCAAAGAUUCAUUCAUAUUUUUUAACUCCUUUAGAAUAUUUUCAUUGUUUCUUUAGGAUUUUCUUCAGAAAUUUCUCCAGGUAGUAAAUUGGGAAGUUUUGUGAGAAUUCCUUCCAGGAGUUCUUUCGAGGAUUUCUUCAGACAACCCUCCAGGGAUCCCUCAGAAAUUUAUUGAAGGAUUUAUUCAGGAAUUCCUUUGUCCGGGAUUUCUGCAGACAUUUGUUCAAGAGAUUCCAUCAAAAUUUUCUCUACCUGGAAUCUCUCCAAGGGUUUCUCAGGCAUUUUUCUUGGAAUUUCUUGCAUAGUUCCUCUAUAAGCCUUGAAUGAUUUUAUUUCGAGGGAAAAAAGAUGGCAUCUUAAGGUAUUUGUUCAGAAAUUCUCCUGGGUAUUAUCCCAGGCAUUCAUUCAAGAAUUGCUUCCAAGAUAACUUCAGAUAUUGCUUCAGGAAAAUUUUCGAGGAAUUUCUCCAAAACAAAAAAGCGAAAGAUUUUUUUUAAAGGAGUUUCCAAAGGUAUCGCCAGAAUUCACUGAAACAAUUUCUCAUAGAAUUCCUGGAGAAACCCUAGGAACAAUUUCUAAAGCAAUGCCUGUAGGAUUCGUAUAGACAUGUUAAGAAGAAUUUCUGAAAAUCUCUUUGGAAGAACUUCUGAAAAAAAUCCUUGCUGAAAUUCCCGAAGAAAUUAUUGGCGGAUUGUCUGAUAGUAUUCUUGGAUAAAUCUGAAAUCUGAUCCCAAGAAAAAAAAAUUGAAAUAUUGUAAAGAAAUUGUAUCUUAGGAAAUAUUUUUGAAUAAAUUCCUGACCUCAGAGGAAAUACCAGAUAAAUUUCAUAGAGGAAUAUCUGAAGGAAACCCCGAGUGAAUCUCUGGAGCAAUUCCUGCCUGAAUCACUUAAAAGAAUAAUGCAAGAAUCUCUGGAUGAAUUUCUGAAGGAUUUUCUGGAUAAAUUCCAGAAAAUAUAUCUGGACACAUUCAUGUGGGAAUUUUCAAUGAAAUCCCUAGAAAAAUUCUCUGAUGAAAUUUCUGAAGAAAUACCUGGACGAAUUUCUGAAGGAAUGUCUGGAAAAUAUUCUGAAGAAAGCAAUGGAAGAAUUUAUUGUAGAAUAUUUGAACGAAUUUAUAAAGAAACCCCCGCAUAAAAUUCUAAAAGAAUCCCUGGAGAAAUUUUCGAUGAUUUUUUUUAACGAAUUUAUGGAAGAAUUUCUAAAGUAAUUACUGGUGGACUCUCAGAAGGAACCCAUAGAAAUCCAACAAAAAGAAUUCUUGAAGAGGGAAUAUCUGAAGGAUGCCCAGGAGAUUUUUUUAAGAAUCCCAUAGGGAAUUUCUAUAACAAUAGCCGGAGGAGUUUCAGUUAGAAACCUUGGUAGCUUAAGAAUGAAUUCCUGGAGUUUUGAAAGAAAUUUUUAGAAGAUUUCUGGUAUCUUUGGAAAAAUUCAUGGAGAAAUCUCAUAUGGAAUUUUUGAAAGAAUCCCUAGAAAAAUUUCUUGAAGAUUCCCUGAAAGAAUUUUUGAAGGAACCUCUGUAAUAAUUUAUGAAGGAGUCUAUGGAAGAUUUCUUUAGGAAAUCCUGAAAUCCUUUGAUUUUUUUUGAAGAAUCGUUAAAUGUAUUUCUGAAGGAAUCCAUGGAUGAUUUCCUGAAAGCGUUCGUACGAAUUUCUGAAAAAAUCUUUGGAAGUUUUUUAAGGAAACCCAUGGAAGCUUCCCAGAGGAAUUUUUGGAUAGAUUUCUGUAGGAUCCUCUGACGAAAAUUCCGAAGGAAGUGUUCUAAAGAGCUUCAAAGGAAGGUUUUAUAAAGAGUUUUCUAAAUUAUUUUCCGGGGUUAUCUCUAGAAAACUAUUGAAAAAAAUUCUAAAGGAAGUUAUGAAUAUUAUGAAGGAAGCAUUGGAAGAGUUCCAGAAGAAUUGCACAGAGAAAUCUACGAAGGCAUUUAUGGCAGAAUUUCUUUGAAAUUCCCUGAAAGAUUUGCUAAAGGAAUUGCUGGCUAAAUUUCUGAAAUUAUGAGUAACUAAAGAAAUCCUUGGACGAACUUUCUGAAUGAAACUAUGAUAGAUUUUUCAAAAAGCCCGUAGAGGAAUUUCAAGAGGAAAUUUUGAAGUAUACAUGAAUAAAUUUCAGAAGAAAUCUCGUGACGAAUUUCUGAAAAAUCCUGAGAGAAAGUUAUAAAUUUCAUUUAUUUGUAAGGAUUUCUGAAAAAAAUCCAUGGAAGAAGUCCUAACAUCACAAAGUUUCCUUGCACGUGUGAGGGGCCCAAAAAAAUUAGAAAACUCACAAAGAUAAGUUAUUUGUUCUACAUCAGGGGCGCUAAAGGUUGAAAUAUUCAUAAAGGUAAUUUUUAUAAAUUUGUGAGUGUGCAAACAUAUGAAAAACCACAAAGGAGAUUUUCUUAUAUUUGGGAUAGCGGAAGAAAAAUAUUCAAUAUAUUUAUGAUAUAUUUAGGAUGCGAAAGAGUACAUUCCAAUAUCAUAAAUGAGACUUGUUUACAUAUCUAUGGGUGCAAAAAAUUGUAAAUCCAGUAGGGCGGAAUCAAUUCCUAAUUUCACUGAGAACCUUUUUUCGUACAUGUAAAGUUCUAAUAUCACAGAGGAAGCACAAUAAAAAUAAAUGUCAUCGACCAAAAGUUUGGAGUCACCCCUCAAAAUGAUGUAUCGGCCAAAAGUUUGGGGUCACUAUCGUAAAAUAUGGAAAAGUGAUUUGUUGAUAUCAUUGUCAUCUUUCAUUCAAUUUUAAUUCUUCUUGGCGUAUAUGCAUUAUGUUACUUACUGCAUAGACAAUGAGUCACACAUAUUUGUUAAAAUUUACAUACUAAAACUUAACGUAAAAUUGUCUCAUUUUUUGAAAAAUGGUAAAAUGCGUUACCUUUACAUAACAUUUUUAUAUACAAAAAUCGUUGAAUACGUCAAAUUAAAGACUUUAAACGUAAAUUUAGUUAUCUUUGAAAUGAGCCAAAAAAAAAAAUUAAAAUUGAACUAGUGAUGACGAAGAUAUUAGCAAAACACUUUUCCAUGUUUUACGAAAGUGACCCCAAACUUUUGACUGGUACAUCAUACAGUGACCAGGCACAAAAAAAAAAGAUCCACCGUGUAGUGGUUACAGUUUCUAAGGAAAACUACAAGCAAAA
This is a long non-coding RNA of Aedes albopictus (Asian tiger mosquito), 19715 nucleotides long. RefSeq lists it as uncharacterized. The record is from RefSeq and is a predicted model, not a curated record. The transcript is spliced from 2 exons. Lineage: Eukaryota; Metazoa; Arthropoda; Insecta; Diptera; Culicidae.